Molecule: long non-coding RNA, 337 nt
Filed under: Malus domestica (apple)
Lineage: Eukaryota; Viridiplantae; Streptophyta; Magnoliopsida; Rosales; Rosaceae
Description: long non-coding RNA (MDOM_LNC009167)
Source: RNAcentral
CAGCAAGUGCAUCCAAGAUUCCUCCUUUCCCUUGCUUGUGGCAUAUUGGUUUGUGGAUAGGUUUUGGGUAGUUCUAUGGUGCAUAAAGGUUUAUGGUGAGUGUAGAUGAGUGUUUGAUGGUGGAAGGGUGGUGGAGAACUUCGGCAAAGAGGGUGGAAGAAGGUGGAGUGGCUGUGAUAUUUUCUGGGCACUACAAUGGUGUUUUUGGGGUGUUUUGCUGCCUAGGGUGAGUAUGGACGAAUUUCUGUGAUGAAUGGUGAAUAUGAGAGUGUCAACCCUUUGCCAAGGGGUGUAAACAUGUAUAUAUAGGCCCCAAAAACCCUAGAGAAUCAGAUUG